CUGCUUACACUCGUUCAACUG
Molecule: microRNA, 21 nt
Filed under: Callorhinchus milii (elephant shark)
Lineage: Eukaryota; Metazoa; Chordata; Chondrichthyes; Chimaeriformes; Callorhinchidae
Description: eshark_NOVEL_206
Source: RNAcentral